UAGGGAAUCUUCGGCAAUGGACGAAAGUCUGACCGAGCAACGCCGCGUGAGUGAAGAAGGUUUUCGGAUCGUAAAACUCUGUUGUUAGAGAAGAACAAGGACGUUAGUAACUGAACGUCCCCUGACGGUAUCUAACCAGAAAGCCACGGCUAACUACGUUCCAGCAGCCGCGGUAAUACGUAGGUGGCAAGCGUUGUCCGGAUUUAUUGGGCGUAAAGCGGGCGAAGGCGGUUUCUUAAGUCUGAGGUGAAAGCCCCCGGCUCAACCGGGGAGAGACAUGGGAAUCUGGGAGGAUUGAAUGCAGAAGAGGAGAGUGGAAUUCCAUGUGUGGCGAUGAAAUGCGUAGAUAUAUGGAGGAACACCAGUGGCGAAGGCGGCUCACUGGUCUGUAACUGACGCUGAGGCUAGAAAGCGUGGGGAGCAAACAGG
This 429-nucleotide ribosomal RNA is filed under the name Gemmatimonadota bacterium. RNAcentral describes it as "Gemmatimonadetes bacterium partial 16S ribosomal RNA". It matches the Rfam family "Bacterial small subunit ribosomal RNA", at positions 355 to 776 of the family's 1533-position model. Lineage: Bacteria; Pseudomonadati; Gemmatimonadota. The record is from RNAcentral.